Long non-coding RNA from Suricata suricatta (meerkat), 1784 nucleotides. RefSeq lists it as uncharacterized. The record is from RefSeq and is a predicted model, not a curated record. Lineage: Eukaryota; Metazoa; Chordata; Mammalia; Carnivora; Herpestidae. The transcript is spliced from 5 exons.
GCCGGAAAUGACCGCCCCGGCGGCAGGUGGAGCAGGGACGCGCGUUCCAAGCGGCGGGAAGAGCCGGUGCAGAGGCCCUGAGGCAGGGCCUGGCAGGGCCUGGCAGAGGGGAGCUCAGCAAGUGCUUCGGUACCUGCUGCCAGCGGCCCUUUGCUGAGGGUCCUGUGCACCACGACAUCCAGUUCAACAUACCCCGUUAUCCCCAUUUUAUGGAUAAGAAAACAGGCGCUGGCAUGUCAGUGUUGAAACUUCCAACGUAAACAGUAAGCGCCAACAAGAAAAAGAAAGCUGCGUAUGCACUGAUGGGAGAAAAGCUUCAAGAAACUUUGUUGUAGGACACCGCCCAUUGCACUCAGCACUGUCAACAGCCUCUUUACAGGCCUUCAAGUCGACACAAGUUUCUCCACACCAUUAGGAAUCACCCUGAAGAUGUGGCAUCUCCAGCAGUUGUGGGUGGCAGCGCAGGAGCCCACUGUAGUGUCAGCGGACACAAGGAGUUCACUGCAGGCUGUUACGUGACUUGCAUGUUCUGGAGAGGGGCAGAGAUCCACGCCUGGAGUCUGCACCGCCUGAAGCAAAGCAAAAUCAGACGCUGGGUGGCUCCAGUGGAAACAGCUGGCUGAUUCUUCUGGGCUCAGAGGCUGCAGCCUCUGGUCUUGCUGCUGCCAGAUGCCCGGCAUCCACAUCGCUGCCUUUGCCUGGUAUGCGCCCUCUGACACGCGCAUGUCCUGUUCAGCUUACCAACACGAGCCUGUGCUGGGGCACCGGCCUGAGGGGGCAGCCAGGAAUAUCUGCACCCUCGCUGCAGGGGAGUCUGGGAAAGCAAGGCCCUGACUUCCACUGGGAAAGGUGUGGCCUCAUCCGUGGGGAUGCCUCGGACAUAGAGGGCGGGUUCACUGGGCAGCCAGAAAGAAUGGCACCAAACUUGAAGGUCAUGCUCAGAGGACCUCUUCUCCAAGAGGACUUUGUGACCACCAUGUCUGAGUCCCCUCCCACUUCCCCCAUCAUGCCCAUCUGCUGUGUCACAGCGCUCGAACUUUGUCACCGCCAUCUGGAAUGACCUUGGUAAUCUGUUUCCUUGUUUAUGGUCUGUCUUCUCCAGUAGAAAGGAAGAGCCACAGGAAUUUUUGGUCCACCCCUGGCUCCUGUAACAGUGCCUGGUACAAAAAUGUCUGUGCCAGGAAUGCACGACCGUGCAGAGAGAACGCCUCGCCUGGUCUUCCCGCCUUCAGCCCGGCUCCCUCCUCCACCCUCCCCUGCGCACACAGGGGAUUUUCCAAGCCCAGAAAUCAUCCAGGUCACUCUUCUGCUCUAAGACCAUCAGUAGCUCCCCACUGUCUCAGGUAAAAUCCAAAGGCCCUAGCAAGGCUCAGCAGGUCCUGUCAGCGUCAAGCCCUGCCUUCCUUCGGACACGUUUACCCUUCACUCCGAACCGAGCCCAGCCCAGAUCACAUCAGCCCUCUGCAGAGACCCGCCCUCCCUGCCCGCGUCCCCGCUCAGCUGACCACUCUGGCCUCUCACUGGCCUCAGGGAAAGUCACUGCUCUCAGGAAGCCUCACUGACCCUGUCUUCCCAAACCUGCAUUAACUGUUCCUUCUCCCACAAUCCCCACCUUGGCCUUAUCGUCUGUAUUGUAAUCUGUUUUUGUUGUUGUUAAGUAAAUUACGAUCUACACUCAGUAGAACUCACCCCUUUUGGGAUAUAGUGUAUGAGUUUUGGCAAACACAUAACAGUUGUGUAAUCUCUCGGGAUAGUCAAAAUAUAAAACCAUUUCAUCAGCUCUC